UUACGGCCAGAUCACGUUGAAACACCGGUUCCCGCACGAUCACCGAAAUUAAGCGACGUCGAGUCUGGUCAAUAAAUGGAUGGGUAACCGUUUGGAAAUACCAGGUGCU
Acanthosepion pharaonis is the source of this 109-nucleotide non-coding RNA. Lineage: Eukaryota; Metazoa; Mollusca; Cephalopoda; Sepiida; Sepiidae. The record is from the annotation of a GenBank genome assembly.